Non-coding RNA from Cinara cedri, 367 nucleotides. Lineage: Eukaryota; Metazoa; Arthropoda; Insecta; Hemiptera; Aphididae. The record is from the annotation of a GenBank genome assembly.
AAACAUUCUACUGUUCCUGUUCUUUUCGUGGACUCUUCCUAUAUAUUAUAAACGAAGUUAUACACGUUUUAAGGGGGAAGGAGAGUUUGAUAACGGGUUUCCAAAUUGUCUAAAGAUUUUUUUUUUUUCAUUUCAAUGACCAAAACUUUAGGAAUUGCGUCUGCUAUAAGCAUAAAAUGCUUAACACUUAAAAUAUAUACAUUUUUUCAAAAACACAAUCAAUGUUUUUCACAAUUUUCAGUAAAAUAGGACAAUUAUUUCUACUUCAAACAUAACGUUAUAGUAAAGAACCAUUUAAAGAAUCAUAAUCCGUUUUUAAAAUUGAAAUCCUUCAAAUACAAUUUCUACAGUUUUUUCCUUAGCUUUU